UCACUGCUUGCGCAGGCAGUCUCGCUAGAGUUCCCGGCAUUACCCGCUGGCAACUAGCGAUAGGGGUUGCGUUCGUUGCGGGACUUAACCCAACAUCUCACGACACGAACUGACGACAGCCAUGCAGCACCUCACCAAAGGCCCUUGCGGGAGACCCCCUUUCAGGGGCUGUCCUCUGGUGUUCGAGCCUGGGUAAGGUUCUUCGCGUUGCAUCGAAUUAAUCCACAUGCUCCACCGCUUGUGCGGGCCCCCGUCAAUUCCUUUGAGUUUCACCCUUGCGAGCGUACUCCCCAGGUGGAGUGCUUAACGCGUUAGCUUAGACACUGCACCCCAAUCGGUGCAGCAUCGAGCACUCAUCGUUUACAGCGUGGACUAC
RNAcentral lists this unclassified non-coding RNA (376 nucleotides) under uncultured Bacteroidota bacterium. RNAcentral describes it as "uncultured Bacteroidetes bacterium contains 16S-23S intergenic spacer region". Lineage: Bacteria; Pseudomonadati; Bacteroidota. The record is from RNAcentral.